UUAAGCGACUAAGCGUACACGGUGGAUGCCCUGGCAGUCAGAGGCGAUGAAGGACGUGCUAAUCUGCGAUAAGCGUCGGUGAGGUGAUAUGAACCGUUAUAACCGGCGAUUUCCGAAUGGGGAAACCCAGUGUGUUUCGACACACUAUCAUUAACUGAAUCCAUAGGUUAAUGAGGCGAACCGGGGGAACUGAAACAUCUAAGUACCCCGAGGAAAAGAAAUCAACCGAGAUUCCCCCAGUAGCGGCGAGCGAACGGGGAGGAGCCCAGAGCCUGAAUCAGUGUGUGUGUUAGUGGAAGCGUCUGGAAAGGCGCGCGAUACAGGGUGACAGCCCCGUACACAAAAAUGCACAUACUGUGAGCUCGAUGAGUAGGGCGGGACACGUGGUAUCCUGUCUGAAUAUGGGGGGACCAUCCUCCAAGGCUAAAUACUCCUGACUGACCGAUAGUGAACCAGUACCGUGAGGGAAAGGCGAAAAGAACCCCGGCGAGGGGAGUGAAAAAGAACCUGAAACCGUGUACGUACAAGCAGUGGGAGCCUCUUAAUGGGGUGACUGCGUACCUUUUGUAUAAUGGGUCAGCGACUUAUAUUCUGUAGCAAGGUUAACCGAAUAGGGGAGCCGAAGGGAAACCGAGUCUUAACUGGGCGUUAAGUUGCAGGGUAUAGACCCGAAACCCGGUGAUCUAGCCAUGGGCAGGUUGAAGGUUGGGUAACACUAACUGGAGGACCGAACCGACUAAUGUUGAAAAAUUAGCGGAUGACUUGUGGCUGGGGGUGAAAGGCCAAUCAAACCGGGAGAUAGCUGGUUCUCCCCGAAAGCUAUUUAGGUAGCGCCUCGUGAAUUCAUCUCCGGGGGUAGAGCACUGUUUCGGCAAGGGGGUCAUCCCGACUUACCAACCCGAUGCAAACUGCGAAUACCGGAGAAUGUUAUCACGGGAGACACACGGCGGGUGCUAACGUCCGUCGUGAAGAGGGAAACAACCCAGACCGCCAGCUAAGGUCCCAAAGUCAUGGUUAAGUGGGAAACGAUGUGGGAAGGCCCAGACAGCCAGGAUGUUGGCUUAGAAGCAGCCAUCAUUUAAAGAAAGCGUAAUAGCUCACUGGUCGAGUCGGCCUGCGCGGAAGAUGUAACGGGGCUAAACCAUGCACCGAAGCUGCGGCAGCGACGCUUAUGCGUUGUUGGGUAGGGGAGCGUUCUGUAAGCCUGUGAAGGUGUGCUGUGAGGCAUGCUGGAGGUAUCAGAAGUGCGAAUGCUGACAUAAGUAACGAUAAAGCGGGUGAAAAGCCCGCUCGCCGGAAGACCAAGGGUUCCUGUCCAACGUUAAUCGGGGCAGGGUGAGUCGACCCCUAAGGCGAGGCCGAAAGGCGUAGUCGAUGGGAAACAGGUUAAUAUUCCUGUACUUGGUGUUACUGCGAAGGGGGGACGGAGAAGGCUAUGUUGGCCGGGCGACGGUUGUCCCGGUUUAAGCGUGUAGGCUGGUUUUCCAGGCAAAUCCGGAAAAUCAAGGCUGAGGCGUGAUGACGAGGCACUACGGUGCUGAAGCGACAAAUGCCCUGCUUCCAGGAAAAGCCUCUAAGCAUCAGGUAACAUUAAAUCGUACCCCAAACCGACACAGGUGGUCAGGUAGAGAAUACCAAGGCGCUUGAGAGAACUCGGGUGAAGGAACUAGGCAAAAUGGUGCCGUAACUUCGGGAGAAGGCACGCUGAUAUGUAGGUGAAGCGACUUGCUCGUGGAGCUGAAAUCAGUCGAAGAUACCAGCUGGCUGCAACUGUUUAUUAAAAACACAGCACUGUGCAAACACGAAAGUGGACGUAUACGGUGUGACGCCUGCCCGGUGCCGGAAGGUUAAUUGAUGGGGUUAGCGGCAACGCGAAGCUCUUGAUCGAAGCCCCGGUAAACGGCGGCCGUAACUAUAACGGUCCUAAGGUAGCGAAAUUCCUUGUCGGGUAAGUUCCGACCUGCACGAAUGGCGUAAUGAUGGCCAGGCUGUCUCCACCCGAGACUCAGUGAAAUUGAACUCGCUGUGAAGAUGCAGUGUACCCGCGGCAAGACGGAAAGACCCCGUGAACCUUUACUAUAGCUUGACACUGAACAUUGAGCCUUGAUGUGUAGGAUAGGUGGGAGGCUUUGAAGUGUGGACGCCAGUCUGCAUGGAGCCGACCUUGAAAUACCACCCUUUAAUGUUUGAUGUUCUAACGUGGGCCCGUAAUCCGGGUUGCGGACAGUGUCUGGUGGGUAGUUUGACUGGGGCGGUCUCCUCCUAAAGAGUAACGGAGGAGCACGAAGGUUGGCUAAUCCUGGUCGGACAUCAGGAGGUUAGUGCAAUGGCAUAAGCCAGCUUGACUGCGAGCGUGACGGCGCGAGCAGGUGCGAAAGCAGGUCAUAGUGAUCCGGUGGUUCUGAAUGGAAGGGCCAUCGCUCAACGGAUAAAAGGUACUCCGGGGAUAACAGGCUGAUACCGCCCAAGAGUUCAUAUCGACGGCGGUGUUUGGCACCUCGAUGUCGGCUCAUCACAUCCUGGGGCUGAAGUAGGUCCCAAGGGUAUGGCUGUUCGCCAUUUAAAGUGGUACGCGAGCUGGGUUUAGAACGUCGUGAGACAGUUCGGUCCCUAUCUGCCGUGGGCGCUGGAGAACUGAGGGGGGCUGCUCCUAGUACGAGAGGACCGGAGUGGACGCAUCACUGGUGUUCGGGUUGUCAUGCCAAUGGCACUGCCCGGUAGCUAAAUGCGGAAGAGAUAAGUGCUGAAAGCAUCUAAGCACGAAACUUGCCCCGAGAUGAGUUCUCCCUGACCCUUUAAGGGUCCUGAAGGAACGUUGAAGACGACGACGUUGAUAGGCCGGGUGUGUAAGCGCAGCGAUGCGUUGAGCUAACCGGUACUAAUGAACCGUGAGGCUUAACCUU
This 2903-nucleotide ribosomal RNA is filed under the name Escherichia coli. RNAcentral's name for it is "bacterial LSU rRNA". It matches the Rfam family "Bacterial large subunit ribosomal RNA". The record is from RNAcentral. Lineage: Bacteria; Pseudomonadati; Pseudomonadota; Gammaproteobacteria; Enterobacterales; Enterobacteriaceae.